UAAUACCAGCUCCUCGAGUUGUUGGGACGAUUAUUGUGUCUAAAGCGUCCGUAGCCGGCCGGAAAAGUUCACCGUUAAAUCCGACGAUUCAAUCGUCGGGCUGCGGAGAAUACUCUUCGGCUUGGGGGCGGGGGAGGUCGGCGGUAUUCCCGGGGUAGGGGCGAAAUCUUAUAAUCCCGGGGGGACCACCAGUGGCGAAGGCGGCCGACUAAAACGCGCCCGACGGUGAGGGACGAAAGCUGGGGGAGCGAACGGGAUUAGAUACCCCGGUAGUCCCAGCUGUAAACAAUGCAGGCUAGGUGUCGGGAUGGCUACGGGCCAGCUCGGUGCCGCAGGGAAGCCAUUAAGCCUGCCACCUGGGAAGUACGGUCGCAAGGCUG
RNAcentral lists this ribosomal RNA (380 nucleotides) under uncultured archaeon. Its description in RNAcentral is "bacterial SSU rRNA". It matches the Rfam family "Archaeal small subunit ribosomal RNA", at positions 471 to 851 of the family's 1478-position model. The record is from RNAcentral.